UUGCCAGUUGCUUACCAGGUAAUGCUGGGCACUCUGGUGAGACUGCCCGGUUAACGGGGAGGAAAGUGGGGACGACGUCAAGUCAUCAUGGCCCUUACGCCUAGGGCUACACACGUACUACAAUGGCGCAUACAAAGGGCAGCGAUACCGCGAGGUGGAGCCAAUCCCAAAAAGUGCGUCCCAGUCCGGAUUGCAGUCUGCAACUCGACUGCAUGAAGUUGGAAUCGCUAGUAAUUCGAGAUCAGCAUGCUCGGGUGAAUGCGUUCCCGGGCCUU
This 275-nucleotide ribosomal RNA is filed under the name uncultured Desulfovibrio sp. RNAcentral describes it as "partial 16S ribosomal RNA". It matches the Rfam family "Bacterial small subunit ribosomal RNA", at positions 1108 to 1382 of the family's 1533-position model. The record is from RNAcentral. Lineage: Bacteria; Pseudomonadati; Thermodesulfobacteriota; Desulfovibrionia; Desulfovibrionales; Desulfovibrionaceae.